Molecule: long non-coding RNA, 4524 nt
Organism: Pyrgilauda ruficollis (rufous-necked snowfinch)
Lineage: Eukaryota; Metazoa; Chordata; Aves; Passeriformes; Passeridae
Exons: 4
Source: RefSeq, a predicted model, not a curated record
GUGAAGAACUACUGUGCGUCAGCUGUGCGGCUUCUGGAGAGGCAACUGAGCCCGGCCCGUGGGUACCGAACGCUUUCACUGGCUGGCGGAGGGCUAAAGGAGACGGUGCCGCAGGCGAGCGGAAUUUACUCGAAGAAGGCUCGGACUAGGCCAUUGACCUAAUAAGUGUUCCAGACAGCCAGAGGAGGGCAUGGCCAACUGGAAAGAAAGCAAAGAAAGCUCUGCAGAGGAAUAGCGACGGUGGUCUUAUGCAAAGCAGAACACUGUGAGAACUUUAUCUGGUACAAAGUAUGAAACCUCUUAAGAGACUUCCUCUUAAGACAUGUGAAUCUGUUUCACAGGUAUCAUACUCCACUAAAACUUUCUGCAUGGCAUGAAGAUGACUCUAAGGAGUUGGCAUUGUUAAAAUUCCAAGAGAUACAGAUGGAGUUUGAAGAAACUGUUUGGUUUUGAAGGCAGCACGAGGCAAAUUUUUCUGCCUUUGCAGAGCUGUUGAAAGACAAGAAGUGUUAUAUUUGUCUAAGAAGAUAAGAAAACUAAAUUUACUGGGAAUUUCAGAAUUGUAUCCACUUGUGAAGCAUCAAGGAACAGUGUGAGUAAAACACUCAAAAAGCUGUUAUGACUCUGGAAGUGAUGGAGUUUUGUGAAUGGUGCUUGCUCUUAAUGGCAAAGAGUUGCAGAGGAGUGUGUCAGAAAUUUUGCAGUGCAAAAUGCGCAGAUUCGGUAAGAGUAAAGCUUCUUGCAGGGCAAAAAGCCCAGAAAUGCAAAACAAAAAUUAAAACACCAUAGGGAGAACAAGCCACCUAGCAAACAUGCUACAGCAAAAUGAGAGCAAGAUUAGAUACAGAUGAAAAUUAAACUGAUGUAUUUGACCUAGCAAGACUAAAUUUUUAAUUUUAAAAGUUUUUUCAAAAAAUAUUCUAAUACUAUACAAAAGCAUAAAUCUUUGUCUAAUAUGAUCAUCAUAUAAACAAAUUGUAUUCUGCAGUUAUGGAGACUUAAGCCUUCUUUGAGAGAUGUCUUUUUUCUCCCCUCUUCAGAAGGUAUGCAAGAGGAUUUAAGCUUAAAAUGAAGACUUAACACUAAGAUUUAUCAACUGCCAGCAUAUACCCAGCGUGAUGGAAGUUGGUUUUUAUUGCUCCUUUUCUCCAUUGUCCUGCCUUUUGUCUAGUAAUAUUCAAGGGCUGAUACUGCCUUGCAAUGACCUCACUACCUACCAGUUACCAAGAGAGAAGCCAAUGUUCCAAGAGCUGCAGAAUCGGCAUGGAGAGAAUUACUUAUUGCCAGAAGGAAUGCAUUGACUCAGCCUAUUUCCAUCACAGCACAUUUAAAGGGGAGAAGGAGGAAAAAGUAGUCAAUGAAAUAAAGUUUUGACUACACAGAGACUUCAUAAAAUGAUAAUGUAUGAAUAAACAUCUCAGCUUAUCUCGGUAUAUGAAGUUUUAUAGCAGCAUAGAACUGAUUGUACUAGCAAGGCUUAUUUCCAUAGCGAGAAGGAAGAAGGAUGGGGGAACAGCUGUGCAAAAAGUUCCUGACCCUGAGUAAGGACUAAUCCCAUCACCAAUUACUGAAUAUCGCUAUAAAGAAGGUGGGGGGGAACAAUCUGAACCCUAAUAUUAGUUAAUACUUUUGUUUGAUAGCAUAUAAUAAUUUCUAUCACUUUUCCUAUGUUUCAGUCAGUGCAAAAUACACAGUAUUUUAUGAACUAUAAAAAAUUCAUCACGUGUUUUAACAUCAUGCUGAAAUUAUGGCUAGGCAGUCUAUUCAAUUUAGUCCUAAUAACUAACUAUAACUGUCAUGUUCAACAAACAGCUAAAAGGUAUUAGAUUGUUCUUAAACACAGUAAAAUUCUGCCUCUGCCUGCUACUAAUAAAAACCUUAUUCUUUCUACCAACUAGAAUCUAAUGCAAAAUAGCCUGUGGCAAUAUGUAAUUCUUACUCAACUGCCACAUGGUCUUCCUAGAAAUUUUUUUAAAGCAUAUACAUGAACAGCAAAUUAAGCACAGUAAGGUCUCAUUAAAUAUGAGCACAAUUCCUAGAAAUUUACUGAGGCAGACCACUGGCCAGACUGCUUCAGUCCAUAAGUAUUCCACUUCAUUAUUUUUCACUGAAUUACUGUUUUUGUUAUGCCACACAAAAUGAAGAAAAGCUUCUUCCUUCAUAUUUUGAGGUUUUUUCAUCCUAAUGCACUCAGAUUUCAAUAUGCUACUGCACAUGACACUUUCUUCCCCCAUCAUUAUUCACACUUCUUGCAAGUCAGAGAGAUGGGAUGAUAUGGAAAGGAUUUUAAAUAUGCAUAUAUCAAAUUCCUUCCUUCUCAAUGGAGACUCCAGGAAAUAGACACUCAAUAGCAAAACAUUUCUGUGCACUGAAACACUGAACAGAGCUUAGGCAGUGCAAUUUGAGCAAUGCUGAGCAAACAUGCAGUUUGAGAUAAGCGUCCAGUGCAUGUUUAUCCACACCACUUGCUGCUCUUGAAGUGCUCUGUGUGCUGUGACAUUCCCUGCCACAACUGCUGCAUGCUGAACACAUGUCGUGACAUUUACUUCUGAUCAAUGGAACUGAACUACUUUGUUUCUUCAAAACUUACUCUUCCUCCUUUUACUCUGAACAUGCCAAGCAGUUGGAUCUUGGCACACAGACAGUCACGUUACUGAUAGUUUGAAUCUAGAGCUCCUCAAGGAAGUUUUGUAUUUAGCUCUUCUUAAAAGCAUCCAUGUGCUGAUAGUGCCACUAAGUACAAAAGCAUCACACAGAAUUCAAAAGCAGGGAGCUCCUGCAUGGAAGUCACCCUACAAUUUCUAGAGCUUUGUACAAUCUAUGUGGUACAGGACCCAAACAUGGAGAUUUCCCAUCACUAACACUUUAGACAAUACCUUAUCCUUGGGGAACACACAUAUUACCAUAUCUUCGAGUGUUUUAAGGUGAAAUAUUAACUAGCUUUCAUAUUUUAAAAAAAGUACUUUAUGCAGAAUAGCAUGGAAAAUCAGUUGUAAAUGAAGAUUCAAAUUGUUAAAAUUGCUAUUCAGUAGUCUGUCUUCAAAACCAAUUUGGAUUGUUCACCACAUUGCAGCUAAAAGUUAAAAUGCCGAUGUUUUCAUGUUUACAGCUGUACCUCUAACAGUUGUACCUCUAAACACAUCAUAUCUGUCUUCCCUCUCUUCUGUAAGCAAGCAAAUACAAUUUGGCUAUAAAACUGUAAGAGGAAUUGUCAUUUCAGAAACUUACUGGAUUCCUAGCUCAUUUUUGAAUGCCAGCAACCAUAGCAAGUUCAGUAUUGCAGCCACAGCAAAUGUGCAAGUAAAUUAUGGACCGCAAAUCUUUGACAAGGAGCAAAGUAGUGACCUCAGGUGGCAAGCCAGCAUCCUCGCAAAGCUCAUUUUGAUAAUUCUUCCUAUCACUGAAUAUCUGUAGACCAGCUGCCCAACUGCUUUGAGUGCUUUAUACUUUGAUAAGGCUGCCUAACAGGUAACAGUUGUGCAUUUGAACUACACAAAUGUCCUUUCAGCUGCAACUCCCACCUUCUGACUGUCUGCAAAAGGUGGAAGAAGAGGGCCAAGGUGCACAGAUGCUAGAGUAACUUAUACAAACAAUGGUAAAGUCACACUAACUUCUGUCUACUACAGUAUCCCACACCUGGGACUGACUGUUCACACAACCCUUACAGCUGCUCUGAGUCUGUACAAAGACAGAAACCUUGGAGUCUUUGGCUUGGUCUCUAUUCCAUAUUCUGUAUUUAACUGUACUCGGUAGCUUUAACACAUUGUUUUGAAAAUUUUAAGACAGCCAACUAUUUCUUCCCUUGAAAAUGUCACACAAGGUUAUUAAAUUCAAAAACUUGUUUUAAAAGAAAUGGUCAGGAAACAUUUAAACAACAGGAACUGGCAGUAUUGACAUAUAAAGAAACACUGAAUAUUUAAUUUUCAUUUGCUUUGGCUUCUUUAAGGUCACCAUUUUCAAGAGAUUUGUGAGAAUAGCAGCAUUUUCAUAUCAGCAGUUAACUUCUGGAGAAACUAGGAAAGCAGGAGUCCAGCAAUGGGCUAAUAUGUUUUAUGAGACACAAGUUCAUCCAAACCUUUUCUAGGAAGUAACUGACACUUAAAGUAAAUAAAAUUGCCAACUGGAUAUAUAAUCUAUAUGCCAAAAAAAAAAAGAAGGAAAGAAAUUGCAGAACUGCAGACAUGGGUUAAACUGAAAUUAGCACUUUCAGGUCAUGUUUCACUAGUUUAAAAAAAAAACCAAUAAACAUCAUCUAGGUGUUUUUUCAGAGCCUAGAAAGAAAACAGUUUCGGACAUGCCCAAAUACUGUAUUUAUAAUUCUUCAAAUUACUUCUACGUACACUUUUAGGAAACUAUGAAAGAAACCAGACUUUGAGUAUUUUGUGCACCAUAAAAAGAGAUUCACAAAAGUCUGAUUAAAAAUCAAGAUUACCAUCUCCAGUGUGGCAUGCAAUGUUUUGCUUUGUCCUGAGACUAGAAGACAGCCAAAUACCAUCACUUAACUCCGAAAUUUACACUGAAGUA